GAUGAACGCUAGCUACAGGCUUAACACAUGCAAGUCGAGGGGAAACGCCAUCGAAAGCUUGCUUUUGAUGGGCGUCGACCGGCGCACGGGUGAGUAACGCGUAUCCAACCUGCCCAUCACUUGGGAAUAACCUUGCGAAAGUAAGACUAAUACCCAAUGAUAUCCCACGAAGGCAUCGGAAUGGGAUUAAAGAUUUAUCGGUGAUGGAUGGGGAUGCGUCUGAUUAGCUUGUUGGCGGGGUAACGGCCCACCAAGGCAACGAUCAGUAGGGGUUCUGAGAGGAAGGUCCCCCACAUUGGAACUGAGACACGGUCCAAACUCCUACGGGAGGCAGCAGUGAGGAAUAUUGGUCAAUGGGCGAGAGCCUGAACCAGCCAAGUAGCGUGCAGGAUGACGGCCCUAUGGGUUGUAAACUGCUUUUAUAAGGGAAUAAAGUGGGUCUCGUGAGACUUUUUGCAUGUACCUUAUGAAUAAGGACCGGCUAAUUCCGUG
Molecule: ribosomal RNA, 492 nt
Filed under: uncultured bacterium
Lineage: Bacteria
Description: partial 16S ribosomal RNA
Rfam family: Bacterial small subunit ribosomal RNA
Source: RNAcentral